GCGGGUACUCAGCUACCAUGCAGUCGACGAUGAUGCUGGUGCUUGCACUGGUGGAUUAGUGGCGAACGGGUGAGAAAUCGUGAGUAACCUGCCCCUGACUUCGGGAUAAGCCCGGGAAACUGGGUCUAAUACCGGAUAUGACUUCCUGCUGCAUGGCAGGGGGUGGAAAGAUUUAUCGGUUGGGGAUGGACUCGCGGCCUAUCAGCUUGUUGGUGAGGUAAUGGCUCACCAAGGCGACGACGGGUAGCCGGCCUGAGAGGGUGACCGGCCACACUGGGACUGAGACACGGCCCAGACUCCUACGGGAGGCAGCAGUGGGGAAUAUUGCACAAUGGGCGAAAGCCUGAUGCAGCGACGCCGCGUGAGGGAUGACGGCCUUCGGGUUGUAAACCUCUUUCAGUAGGGAAGAAGCCCCUUUUGGGGUGACGGUACUUGCAGAAGAAGCGCCGGCUAACUACGUGCCAGCAGCCGCGGUAAUACGUAGGGCGCAAGCGUUAUCCGGAAUUAUUGGGCGUAAAGAGCUCGUAGGCGGUUUGUCGCGUCUGCCGUGAAAGUCCGAGGCUCAACCUCGGAUCUGCGGUGGGUACGGGCAGACUAGAGUGAUGUAGGGGAGACUGGAAUUCCUGGUGUAGCGGUGAAAUGCGCAGAUAUCAGGAGGAACACCGAUGGCGAAGGCAGGUCUCUGGGCAUUUACUGACGCUGAGGAGCGAAAGCAUGGGGAGCGAACAGGAUUAGAUACCCUGGUAGUCCAUGCCGUAAACGUUGGGCACUAGGUGUGGGGGACAUUCCACGUUUUCCGCGCCGUAGCUAACGCAUUAAGUGCCCCGCCCU
Molecule: ribosomal RNA, 831 nt
Filed under: Glutamicibacter creatinolyticus
Lineage: Bacteria; Bacillati; Actinomycetota; Actinomycetes; Micrococcales; Micrococcaceae
Description: bacterial SSU rRNA
Rfam family: Bacterial small subunit ribosomal RNA
Source: RNAcentral